UUGUUAUCAAGAAAGGUGGAGGGAUUAGACCCAGUGAAACCUUAGCAACCCUUUAGCCGUAAAGAAGGUGCUACAUUCUACCCAUUUUGGGAUGGAUAACGU
RNAcentral lists this non-coding RNA (102 nucleotides) under Flagellimonas eckloniae. RNAcentral's name for it is "SAM riboswitch aptamer (S box leader)". It matches the Rfam family "SAM riboswitch aptamer (S box leader)". Rfam says of the family: The SAM riboswitch is found upstream of a number of genes which code for proteins involved in methionine or cysteine biosynthesis in Gram-positive bacteria. The record is from Rfam by way of RNAcentral. RNAcentral also lists the same sequence under 1 other name. Lineage: Bacteria; Pseudomonadati; Bacteroidota; Flavobacteriia; Flavobacteriales; Flavobacteriaceae.